CAUUACCUACGGGAUGCAGCAGUCGAGAAUCAUUCACAAUGGGGGAAACCCUGAUGGUGCGACGCCGCGUGGGGGAAUGAAGGUCUUCGGAUUGUAAACCCCUGUCAUGUGGGAGCAAAUUAAAAAGAUAGUACCACAAGAGGAAGAGACGGCUAACUCUGUGCCAGCAGCCGCGGUAAUACAGAGGUCUCAAGCGUUGUUCGGAAUCACUGGGCGUAAAGCGUGCGUAGGCUGUUUCGUACGUCGUGUGUGGAAGGCGCGGGCUCAACCCGCGGACGGCACGUGAUACU
Molecule: ribosomal RNA, 290 nt
Filed under: uncultured bacterium
Lineage: Bacteria
Description: partial 16S ribosomal RNA
Rfam family: Bacterial small subunit ribosomal RNA
Source: RNAcentral